Molecule: ribosomal RNA, 492 nt
Filed under: uncultured bacterium
Lineage: Bacteria
Description: partial 16S ribosomal RNA
Rfam family: Bacterial small subunit ribosomal RNA
Source: RNAcentral
AGGGAAGGAGGGAGGGAGGAAGAACACAGGAAAGUCGAACGGUAGCACAGUAAGAGCUUGCUCUUACGGGUGGCGAGUGGCGGACGGGUGAGGAAUACAUCGGAAUCUACUUUUUCGUGGGGGAUAACGUAGGGAAACUUACGCUAAUACCGCAUACGACCUACGGGUGAAAGCAGGGGAUCUUCGGACCUUGCGCGAUUGAAUGAGCCGAUGUCGGAUUAGCUAGUUGGCGGGGUAAAGGCCCACCAAGGCGACGAUCCGUAGCUGGUCUGAGAGGAUGAUCAGCCACACUGGAACUGAGACACGGUCCAGACUCCUACGGGAGGCAGCAGUGGGGAAUAUUGGACAAUGGGCGCAAGCCUGAUCCAGCCAUACCGCGUGGGUGAAGAAGGCCUUCGGGUUGUAAAUCCCUUUUGUUGGGAAAGAAAAGCAGCAGGUUAAUACCCCGCUGUUCUGACGGUACCCAAAGAAUAAGCACCGGCUAACUUCGUC